Molecule: ribosomal RNA, 1618 nt
Filed under: Staphylococcus aureus
Lineage: Bacteria; Bacillati; Bacillota; Bacilli; Caryophanales; Staphylococcaceae
Description: partial 23S ribosomal RNA
Rfam family: Bacterial large subunit ribosomal RNA
Source: RNAcentral
CGAAAGACGGGUGAGAAUCCCGUCCACCGAUUGACUAAGGUUUCCAGCGGAAGGCUCGUCCGCUCUGGGUUAGUCGGGUCCUAAGCUGAGGCCGACAGGCGUAGGCGAUGGAUAACAGGUUGAUAUUCCUGUACCACCUAUAAUCGUUUUAAUCGAUGGGGGGACGCAGUAGGAUAGGCGAAGCGUGCGAUUGGAUUGCACGUCUAAGCAGUAAGGCUGAGUAUUAGGCAAAUCCGGUACUCGUUAAGGCUGAGCUGUGAUGGGGAGAAGACAUUGAGUCUUCGAGUCGUUGAUUUCACACUGCCGAGAAAAGCCUCUAGAUAGAAAAUAGGUGCCCGUACCGCAAACCGACACAGGUAGUCAAGAUGAGAAUUCUAAGGUGAGCGAGCGAACUCUCGUUAAGGAACUCGGCAAAAUGACCCCGUAACUUCGGGAGAAGGGGUGCUCUUUAGGGUUAACGCCCAGAAGAGCCGCAGUGAAUAGGCCCAAGCGACUGUUUAUCAAAAACACAGGUCUCUGCUAAACCGUAAGGUGAUGUAUAGGGGCUGACGCCUGCCCGGUGCUGGAAGGUUAAGAGGAGUGGUUAGCUUCUGCGAAGCUACGAAUCGAAGCCCCAGUAAACGGCGGCCGUAACUAUAACGGUCCUAAGGUAGCGAAAUUCCUUGUCGGGUAAGUUCCGACCCGCACGAAAGGCGUAACGAUUUGGGCACUGUCUCAACGAGAGACUCGGUGAAAUCAUAGUACCUGUGAAGAUGCAGGUUACCCGCGACAGGACGGAAAGACCCCGUGGAGCUUUACUGUAGCCUGAUAUUGAAAUUCGGCACAGCUUGUACAGGAUAGGUAGGAGCCUUUGAAACGUGAGCGCUAGCUUACGUGGAGGCGCUGGUGGGAUACUACCCUAGCUGUGUUGGCUUUCUAACCCGCACCACUUAUCGUGGUGGGAGACAGUGUCAGGCGGGCAGUUUGACUGGGGCGGUCGCCUCCUAAAAGGUAACGGAGGCGCUCAAAGGUUCCCUCAGAAUGGUUGGAAAUCAUUCAUAGAGUGUAAAGGCAUAAGGGAGCUUGACUGCGAGACCUACAAGUCGAGCAGGGUCGAAAGACGGACUUAGUGAUCCGGUGGUUCCGCAUGGAAGGGCCAUCGCUCAACGGAUAAAAGCUACCCCGGGGAUAACAGGCUUAUCUCCCCCAAGAGUUCACAUCGACGGGGAGGUUUGGCACCUCGAUGUCGGCUCAUCGCAUCCUGGGGCUGUAGUCGGUCCCAAGGGUUGGGCUGUUCGCCCAUUAAAGCGGUACGCGAGCUGGGUUCAGAACGUCGUGAGACAGUUCGGUCCCUAUCCGUCGUGGGCGUAGGAAAUUUGAGAGGAGCUGUCCUUAGUACGAGAGGACCGGGAUGGACAUACCUCUGGUGUACCAGUUGUCGUGCCAACGGCAUAGCUGGGUAGCUAUGUGUGGACGGGAUAAGUGCUGAAAGCAUCUAAGCAUGAAGCCCCCCUCAAGAUGAGAUUUCCCAACUUCGGUUAUAAGAUCCCUCAAAGAUGAUGAGGUUAAUAGGUUCGAGGUGGAAGCAUGGUGACAUGUGGAGCUGACGAAUACUAAUCGAUCGAAGACUUAAUCAAAA